Molecule: long non-coding RNA, 849 nt
Organism: Oncorhynchus keta (chum salmon)
Lineage: Eukaryota; Metazoa; Chordata; Actinopteri; Salmoniformes; Salmonidae
Exons: 3
Source: RefSeq, a predicted model, not a curated record
UUAACAGGUAGUGUUGGCCCUUCUACAUUAACAGGUAGUGUUGGCCCUUCUACAUUAACAGGUAGUGUUGGCCCUUCUACAUUAACAGGUAGUGUUGGUCCUUCUACAUUAACAGGUAGUGUUGGCCCUUCUACAUUAACAGGUAGUGUUGGUCCUUCUACAUUAACAGGUAGUGUUGGCCCUUCUACAUUAACAGGUAGUGUUGGCCCUUCUACAUUAACAGGUAGUGUUGGCCCUUCUACAUUAACAGGUAGUGUUGGCCCUUCUACAUUAACAGGUAGUGUUGGUCCUUCUACAUUAACAGGUAGUGUUGGCCCUUCUACAUUAACAGGUAGUGUUGGCCCUUCUACAUUAACAGGUAGUGUUGGCCCUUCUACAUUAACAGGUAGUGUUGGCCCUUCUACAUUAACAGGUAGUGUUGGCCCUUCUACAUUAACAGGUAGUGUUGGCCCUUCUACAUUAACAGGUAGUGUUGGCCCUUCUACAUUAACAGGUAGUGUUGGCCCUUCUACAUUAACAGGUAGUGUUGGCCCUUCUACAUUAACAGGUAGUGUUGGCCCUUCUACAUUAACAGGUAGUGUUGGCCCUUCUACAUUAACAGGUAGUGUUGGCCCUUCUACAUUAACAGGUAGUGUUGGUCCUUCUACAUUAACAGGUAGUGUUGGUCCUUCUACAUUAACAGGUAGUGUUGGCCCUUCUACAUUAACAGGUAGUGUUGGCCCUUCUACAUUAACAGGUAGUGUUGGUCCUUCUACAUUAACAGGUAGUGUUGGCCCUUCUACAUUAACAGGUAGUGUUGGCCCUUCUACAUUAACAGGUAGUGUUGGCCCUUCUACAUUAACAGGUAGU